Molecule: ribosomal RNA, 424 nt
Filed under: Aname sp. MYG461
Lineage: Eukaryota; Metazoa; Arthropoda; Arachnida; Araneae; Anamidae
Description: partial 16S ribosomal RNA
Rfam family: Archaeal large subunit ribosomal RNA
Source: RNAcentral
UAAAAGACUUUAUUUUUAGUACCCCCUGCUCAAUGAUAAUUAAAUAGCCGCAGUUUCCUGUGCUAAGGUAGCAUAAUCAUUUGCCUAAUAAUUAUAGGAUAGAAUGAAAGGUGAAACAUGUUAUCUUCUUUAUUAAAAAGGUUAUUUAAAUUUAUCCUUUAAGUAAAAACGCUUAAAUCUUUAGGGGGACGACAAGACCCUGACGAACUUUAUUCUAUGUUUAGCUGGGGCGGCAAACAAAUCAAACCUUUCACCCCUUUUUCUAAAUUAAACCUAAAAAUGAUAAUCAAGUUACCGCAGGGAUAACAGCAUAAUCCUUUCUAGAAGAUCUUAUAAAAGAAAGAUUUUGUGACCUCGAUGUUGAAUUAAAAAUCUAUCAAAGGCAGCACUCUGAUAAGAAAGUCUGUUCGACUUUUAAAUAUUU